RNAcentral lists this ribosomal RNA (396 nucleotides) under uncultured Methanosaeta sp. Its description in RNAcentral is "bacterial SSU rRNA". It matches the Rfam family "Archaeal small subunit ribosomal RNA", at positions 943 to 1338 of the family's 1478-position model. Lineage: Archaea; Methanobacteriati; Methanobacteriota; Methanomicrobia; Methanotrichales; Methanotrichaceae. The record is from RNAcentral.
CAAUAUGAAGGUCAGGCUGAAGACCUUACCCGAUUAGCUGAGAGGUGGUGCAUGGCCGCCGUCAGUUCGUACUGUGAAGCAUCCUGUUAAGUCAGGCAACGAGCGAGACCCACGUCCACAGUUGCCAGCAUACCCUCCGGGGUGAUGGGUACACUGUGGAGACCGCCGCUGCUAAAGCGGAGGAAGGAGUGGGCAACGGUAGGUCAGUAUGCCCCGAAUCUCCCGGGCUACACGCGGGCUACAAUGGUUGGUACAAUGGGCAUCUACCCCGAAAGGGGAAGGAAAUCUCUUAAAGCCAAUCGUAGUUCGGAUUGAGGGCUGCAACUCGCCCUCAUGAAGCUGGAAUCCGUAGUAAUCGCGUUUCAACAGAACGCGGUGAAUACGUCCCUGCUCCUU